CAUACGGGUGGCAGCAGUGGGGAAUAUUGGACAAUGGGCGAAAGCCUGAUCCAGCCAUGCCGCGUGUGUGAAGAAGGCCUUCGGGUUGUAAAGCACUUUCAGUGGGGAAGAAAGCCUUGGGGCUAAUACCCUCGAGGAAGGACAUCACCCACAGAAGAAGCACCGGCUAACUCCGUGCCAGCAGCCGCGGUAAUACGGAGGGUGCGAGCGUUAAUCGGAAUUACUGGGCGUAAAGCGCGCGUAGGCGGUCUGAUAAGCCGGUUGUGAAAGCCCCGGGCUCAACCUGGGAACGGCAUCCGGAACUGUCAGGCUAGAGUGCAGGAGAGGAAGGUAGAAUUCCCGGUGUAGCGGUGAAAUGCGUAGAGAUCGGGAGGAAUACCAGUGGCGAAGGCGGCCUUCUGGACUGACACUGACGCUGAGGUGCGAAAGCGUGGGUAGCAAACAGGAUUAGAUACCCCAGUAGUC
Molecule: ribosomal RNA, 465 nt
Filed under: Vreelandella stevensii
Lineage: Bacteria; Pseudomonadati; Pseudomonadota; Gammaproteobacteria; Oceanospirillales; Halomonadaceae
Description: partial 16S ribosomal RNA
Rfam family: Bacterial small subunit ribosomal RNA
Source: RNAcentral